This 64-nucleotide transfer RNA is filed under the name Escherichia coli. Its description in RNAcentral is "tRNA-OTHER". It matches the Rfam family "tRNA". From Rfam's summary of the family: Transfer RNA (tRNA) molecules are approximately 80 nucleotides in length. Lineage: Bacteria; Pseudomonadati; Pseudomonadota; Gammaproteobacteria; Enterobacterales; Enterobacteriaceae. The record is from RNAcentral. RNAcentral also lists the same sequence under 2 other names.
GGGUCGUUAGCUCAGUUGACUUUUAAUCAAUUGGUCGCAGGUUCGAAUCCUGCACGACCCACCA